Molecule: ribosomal RNA, 1247 nt
Filed under: Phytoplasma sp.
Lineage: Bacteria; Bacillati; Mycoplasmatota; Mollicutes; Acholeplasmatales; Acholeplasmataceae
Also listed under: 1 other name
Description: bacterial SSU rRNA
Rfam family: Bacterial small subunit ribosomal RNA
Source: RNAcentral
GAAACAGUGGCUAAGAUUGGAUAGGAAGAAAUAAGGCAUCUUUUUUCUUUUAAAAGACCUAGUGAUAGGUAUACUUUAGGAGGGGCUUGCGCCAUAUUAGUUAGUUGGUAGGGUAAUGGCCUACCAAGACGAUGAUGUGUAGCUGGACUGAGAGGUUGAACAGCCACAUUGGGACUGAGACACGGCCCAAACUCCUACGGGAGGCAGCAGUAGGGAAUUUUCGGCAAUGGAGGAAACUCUGACCGAGCAACGCCGCGUGAACGACGAAGUACUUUGGUAUGUAAAGUUCUUUUAUCAAGGAAGAAAAGCAAGUGGUGAACCAUUUGUUUGCCGGUACUUGAUGAAUAAGCCCCGGCUAAUUAUGUGCCAGCAGCCGCGGUAAGACAUAAGGGGCAAGUGUUAUCCGGAAUUAUUGGGCGUAAAGGGUGCGUAGGCGGUCUAGUAAGUCAGUGGUGUAAUGGCAACGCUCAACGUUGUCCGGCUAUUGAAACUGCUAAACUUGAGUUAGAUAGAGGCGAGUGGAAUUCCAUGUGUAGCGGUAAAAUGCGUAAAUAUAUGGAGGAACACCAGAGGCGUAGGCGGCUCGCUGGGUCUUAACUGACGCUGAGGCACGAAAGCGUGGGGAGCAAACAGGAUUAGAUACCCUGGUAGUCCACGCCGUAAACGAUGAGUACUAAGUGUCGGGUUAAACCGGUACUGAAGUUAACACAUUAAGUACUCCGCCUGAGUAGUACGUACGCAAGUAUGAAACUUAAAGGAAUUGACGGGACUCCGCACAAGCGGUGGAUCAUGUUGUUUAAUUCGAAGAUACCCGAAAAACCUUACCAGGUCUUGACAUGUUUUUGCGAAACGGUAGUAAUAUCGUGGAGGUUAUCAGAAACACAGGUGGUGCAUGGUUGUCGUCAGCUCGUGUCGUGAGAUGUUAGGUUAAGUCCUAAAACGAGCGAAACCCUUAUCGUUAGUUGCCAGCACGUUAUGGUGGGGACUUUAACGAGACUGCCAGUGAUAAAUUGGAGGAAGGUGAGGAUCACGUCAAAUCAGCAUGCCCCUUAUGACCUGGGCUACAAACGUGAUACAAUGGCUGUUACAAAGGGUAGCUGAAACGCAAGUUCUUGGCCAAUCCCCAAAAACAGUCUCAGUCCGGAUUGAAGUCUGCAACUCGACUUCAUGAAGUUGGAAUCGCUAGUAAUCGCGAAUCAGCAUGUCGCGGUGAAUACGUUCUCGGGGUUUGUACACACCGCCCGUCA